This 1536-nucleotide ribosomal RNA is filed under the name Triticum aestivum (bread wheat). RNAcentral describes it as "partial small subunit ribosomal RNA". Lineage: Eukaryota; Viridiplantae; Streptophyta; Magnoliopsida; Poales; Poaceae. The record is from RNAcentral.
AUGCAGCUCGCGGCGGUGUGCACGGAUCCCUGGGUGCUCUCCGGCACCGCCCUCGUCGUCCUCGUCCACCUCGUGCUCCGGCACUUCCGCUCCGGCGGCCGCCGCCUCCCGCCGGGCCCGCGCGGCUUCCCGAUACUCGGCGCGCUGCCGCUCGUCGGCCCGACCCCGCACACCGGGCUGGCGGCGCUGGCACGCAAGCACGGCCCGGUCAUGUACCUCAAGAUGGGCACCUGCGGCGUCGUGGUGGCGUCGUCCCCCGCGGCGGCGCGGCAGUUCCUCAAGGUGCAGGACGCGCGCUUCGCCGACCGGCCCGCCGUCGCCAGCGCCGUGGACAUCACGUACGGGUUCCAGACCAUCGCGUUCGGCAUGCAGGGGCCCAGGUGGAAGCAGAUGCGCAAGCUGUCGACCGUGCACCUGCUCGGCGCGCAGGCCAUGUCCGAGUGGGCGUCCGUGCGCCGGGACGAGGCCGGCCGCCUGCUGCGCGACGUGGCUGGGGCCUCCGCCGCCGGGGAGCUGGUCUCCGUGCCGGACGUGCUGGUGCGCGCGUUCGCCAACAUCAUCGGGCAGAUCACCCUGAGCAAGAGGCUGUUCGACACCCAGGGCGACGAGGCCAACAGAUACAAGGAGAUGAUCACGUUGGUGCAGAGCGGGUCGGGGCUAUUCAACAUCAGCGACUUCGUGCCGGCCCUGUCACGCUUUGACCUGCAGGGUGUUCAGGCGAAGCUGCGGAAGAUCCACCUCCGCUUCGACGACAUGAUCACCAGCCUCCUGGACGAGCACUCGGCGACGGCCAAGCAGCGGCAGGGUCGGCCGGACUUCAUCGACAAGCUCAAGGCCAGCAUGGCCGACAACAAGGACAGCAACGACGCCGACACGAUCUCCGAAGUCAACGUCAAGGGAUUCGUAUUUGACAUGUUCACCGCCGGCACGGACACGGCGUCGAUCAUCGCGGAGUGGGCGAUGGCGGAGAUGAUCAAGAACCCGUCCAUCACGGCGCGCGCGCAGGAGGAGAUGGACCGCGUCGUCGGCCGCGGCCGCCGCCUCGAGGAGUCCGACGUCGCCAGCCUCCCCUACCUGCAGGCCGUAUGCAAGGAGGCCAUGCGCCUCCACCCCUCGACCCCGCUAAGCAUCCCGCACUUCUCCGCCGAGGAGUGCGAGGUGGACGGCUACCACAUCCCCAGGAACACGCAGCUGCUCGUCAACAUCUGGGCCAUCGGCCGGGACGAGGCGACAUGGGAGGACCCGCUCGAGUUCCGGCCGGAGCGGUUCCUGUCCGGGCCGACGGCCAACGUGGACGCGCUGGGGAACCACUUCGAGCUCAUCCCCUUCGGCGCCGGGCGGAGGAUCUGCGUCGGGAAGCUGGCCGGCAUGGUGUUCGUGCAGUACUUCCUGGGCAUGCUGGUGCACGCGUUCGAGUGGCGGCUGCCGGAAGGCGAGAAGCUGGACAUGGAAGAGCAGUUCGGGCUCACGAUGCCCAAGGCCGUGCCGCUGCGGGCUAUUGUCACCCCACGGCUGGCGCCGGCCGCGUACGCGUGA